CCUACGGGGGGCAGCAGUGAGGAAUAUUGGUCAAUGGGCGCGAGCCUGAACCAGCCAAGUCGCGUGAGGGAGGACGGCCCUACGGGUUGUAAACCUCUUUUGCCGGGGAGCAACGGGCGUCACGUGUGGCGCCACUGAGAGUACCCGGAGAAAAAGCAUCGGCUAACUCCGUGCCAGCAGCCGCGGUAAUACGGAGGAUGCGAGCGUUAUCCGGAUUUAUUGGGUUUAAGGGGUGCGUAGGCGGCUCGUUAAGUCAGUGGUCAAAUGGAGGGGCUCAACCCCUUCCCGCCAUUGAAACUGGCGUUCUUGAGUGGAAGAGAAGUAUGCGGAAUGCGUGGUGUAGCGGUGAAAUGCAUAGAUAUCACGCAGAACCCCGAUUGCGAAGGCAGCAUGCCGGCUUCCGACUGACGCUGAAGCACGAAAGCGUGGGGAUCGAACAGGAUUAGAUACCCCAGUAGUC
This 460-nucleotide ribosomal RNA is filed under the name uncultured bacterium. Its description in RNAcentral is "partial 16S ribosomal RNA". It matches the Rfam family "Bacterial small subunit ribosomal RNA", at positions 338 to 795 of the family's 1533-position model. The record is from RNAcentral.